Long non-coding RNA from Parus major (Great Tit), 374 nucleotides. RefSeq lists it as uncharacterized. The record is from RefSeq and is a predicted model, not a curated record. Lineage: Eukaryota; Metazoa; Chordata; Aves; Passeriformes; Paridae. The transcript is spliced from 3 exons.
UGUGUCCCAGGUGUCCCCAGGUGUGUCCUGCUCUAUCCCAGGUGUCCCCAGGUGUGGUUUUGGUGUCUCCAGGUGUGUCCUGCUCUAUCUCAGGUGUGUCCAGGUGAGCUCAGGUGUGUCCCAAACCUCUCUAGAUCCUCUCCAGGUGUCCCCAGGUGUGUCCUGCUCUAUCCCAGGUGUGUCCUGGUGUCCCCAGCUGUGUCUCAGGUGAGCUCAGGUGUGUCCCAAACCUCUCUAAAUCCUCUCUAGGUGUCCCCAGGUGUCCCCCGAUGUCCUCAGGUGUCUCAGGUGUGUCCCAACCCCCUCCAGGUGUGUCCAGGUGUGUCCUGCUCUAUCCCAGGUGUCCCCAGCUGUGUCUCAGGUGUGUUUUUGGU